CGGGCAGAAGAAAGCCACCGGCUAACUUCCGUGCCAGCAGCCGCGGUAAUACGGAGGGUGCAAGCGUUAAUCGGAAUUACUGGGCGUAAAGCGCACGCAGGCGGUCUGUCAAGUCGGAUGUGAAAUCCCCGGGCUCAACCCUGGGAACUGCAUUCGAAACUGGCCAGGCCAGAGUCUUGUAGAGGGGGGUAGAAUUCCAGGUGUAGCGGUGAAAUGCGUAGAGAUCUGGAGGGAAUACCGGUGGCGAAGGCGGCCCCCCUGGACAAAGACUGACGCUCAGGUGCGAAAGCGUGGGGAGCAAACAGGACCAGAUACCCUGGUAGUCCACGCCGUAAACGAUGUCGAUUUGGAGGUUGUGCCCUUGAGGCGUGGCUUCCGGAGCUAACGCGUUAAAUCGACCGCCUGGGGAGUACGGCCGCAAGGUUAAAACUCAAAUGAAUUGACGGGGGCCCGCACAAGCGGUGGAGCAUGUGGUUUAAUUCGAUGCAACGCGAAGAACCUUACCUGGUCUUGACAUCCACAGAACUUAGCAGAGAUGCUUUGGUGCCUUCGGGAACUGUGAGACAGGUGCUGCAUGGCUGUCGUCAGCUCGUGUUGUGAAAUGCCGGGUUAAGUCCCGCAACGAGCGCAACCCUUAUCCUUUGUUGCCAGCGGUCCGGCCGGGAACUCAAAGGAGACUGCCAGUGAUAAACUGGAGGAAGGUGGGGAUGACGUCAAGUCAUCAUGGCCCUUACGACCAGGGCUACACACGUGCUACAAUGGCAUAUACAAAGAGAAGCGACCUCGCGAGAGCAAGCGGACCUCAUAAAGUAUGUCGUAGUCCGGAUUGGAGUCUGCAACUCGACUCCAUGAAGUCGGAAUCGCUAGUAAUCGUAGAUCAGAAUGCUACGGUGAAUACGUUCCCGGGCCUUGUACACACCGCCCGUCACACCAUGGGAGUGGGUUGCAAAAGAAGUAGGUAGCUUAACCUUCGGGAGGGCGCUUACCACUUU
RNAcentral lists this ribosomal RNA (992 nucleotides) under Klebsiella pneumoniae. Its description in RNAcentral is "bacterial SSU rRNA". It matches the Rfam family "Bacterial small subunit ribosomal RNA", at positions 477 to 1463 of the family's 1533-position model. The record is from RNAcentral. Lineage: Bacteria; Pseudomonadati; Pseudomonadota; Gammaproteobacteria; Enterobacterales; Enterobacteriaceae.